GGCGGUGUAGCCGAGUGGUUCAGGCACUGGUUUGCAAAACCUGGGACACGGGUUCGAAUCCCGUCACCGCCU
Molecule: transfer RNA, 72 nt
Filed under: Acidimicrobiia bacterium
Lineage: Bacteria; Bacillati; Actinomycetota; Acidimicrobiia
Description: tRNA-Cys
Rfam family: tRNA
About the family: Transfer RNA (tRNA) molecules are approximately 80 nucleotides in length. Their secondary structure includes four short double-helical elements and three loops (D, anti-codon, and T loops).
Source: RNAcentral